GACGAACGCUGGCGGCGUGCUUAACACAUGCAAGUCGAACGGAAAGGCCCUGCUUUUGUGGGGUGCUCGAGUGGCGAACGGGUGAGUAACACGUGAGUAACCUGCCCUUGACUUUGGGAUAACUUCAGGAAACUGGGGCUAAUACCGGAUAGGAGCUCCUGCUGCAUGGUGGGGGUUGGAAAGUUUCGGCGGUUGGGGAUGGACUCGCGGCUUAUCAGCUUGUUGGUGGGGUAGUGGCUUACCAAGGCUUUGACGGGUAGCCGGCCUGAGAGGGUGACCGGCCACAGUGGGACUGAGAUACGGCCCAGACUCCUACGGGAGGCAGCAGUGGGGAAUAUUGCACAAUGGGCGGAAGCCGGAUGCAGCAACGCCGCGUGCGGGAGGACGGCCUUCGGGUUGUAAACCGCUUUCGCCUGUGACGAAGCGUGAGUGACGGUAAUGGGUAAAGAAACACCGGCUAACUACGU
This 467-nucleotide ribosomal RNA is filed under the name uncultured bacterium. Its description in RNAcentral is "partial 16S ribosomal RNA". It matches the Rfam family "Bacterial small subunit ribosomal RNA", at positions 28 to 506 of the family's 1533-position model. The record is from RNAcentral.